Non-coding RNA from Henosepilachna vigintioctopunctata, 73 nucleotides. Lineage: Eukaryota; Metazoa; Arthropoda; Insecta; Coleoptera; Coccinellidae. The record is from the annotation of a GenBank genome assembly.
AGGGGCGUAGCUCAAAUGGUAGAGCGCUUGCUUAGCAUGCGAGAGGUACCAGAAUCGAUAACUGGCGCCUCCA